UAUUUUUUGUGUAUAUUUUAUGUUUAUACUUGUGUAUAAUUUUAUCUUCUCCUCAAUUUAAAAAAUGAAUUCAGCUGGGACCCACAAUUGUGGAUCUCUAAAGGAUGUUAAUACCUUCCCUUCGGGAUUACUUGAACUCCUUACCUAAAAUCUAAUGGUUUCAUAGAAUAUUUUUCUUAAUUAAUAAAUUGGUUUUUUAAUUAUCCUAAAAUUAGGUGGCAACUCCUUAAAAUAAUAUUCUUUCUUUAAAUGUCUUUUUAAACUAUUAAAUUGAUGAUUUUUUACGAGUUCCACAACGUUGCAACUUAUUUGCACAAAAUAGCGAUGUAACAGACACAUAAGACUUGACCACUUUAGGAGUAGGUUAAGCAAUUUACUUUCCUUUGCUUUCCCUACUUUUCCAAACCAAGCAACGCGAAACAUCCUCCACAUCAUCAUCUUCCACAGGAGGAAGCACAAUAUCAAAUUAAGGGAGUGGAGAAGAAGGCAUGUCGUCCUAAAUGGGUCCAGGUCCGGGAACCAAGUGCCAUACUUUCUUUCAAAUUGAUGCAGCUCCUCCUACAUGAAAUUCACCCGGUCAGUAUCCUUGAGUGCAUCCUUCAUAUUUUUGGGCUCAAUGGUGGAUAUGAAUGUUUAGAAGGCAAUCAUGCUUCCUUUCUGAGAUCUGGUGUGCAUGCCUGAAUCCAAGGGUGAGAUGACGUUAUCUAGAGAUGAGAUGAUUUUUUUCCAGCCUAAUCUUCUUUUGAGCUAAUGUGUUUGACUGGCACUAGGUUCUUGAGCUUCUUUAUUAGUAGGUUUAGGUGGAGAAAGAUCAACAUUUCCUAUAAGAUCUUACGGACCAAGUCCUUCAGCUUCCUCAUUUUUCUCCAAAUCAUUAACUUUCUCAGCAAGAUCACCAAUGUUAACUUCUUCAUUAAGAUAGUCUCUUUGAAUUAGAAGAGGUUUUUCUAUCUUAGCAUCAUCCUUGUUGGUUGAUGAAUAUCCGAGGAACACUUAUUCAUUACUCUUGGGAUCAAACUUUCCAUGAUCAUCCUUUUCAUUGUUCAAAACAAAACGCUUGCAUCCAAAGGCCUAAUAUAAUUUAACUUAGGCUUUCGAUUAUUAAUUAAUUCAUAGGAAGUUUCAUUUAGAAUUGACCCAUUAGACACAUGUUGGUCACAUAACAAACAGUAUUGAUAGCUUCAACCUAGAAGUUCUUUGGAAGAUCAACAUCAAUCAACAUGGUUCUUGAAAUGGCAAAUGGGCUUAUAUUCUUCCUUUCAACUACUACGGUUUUUUGAGGAGUUCUUGGGGUUGAGAAGUUGUGACUGAUCCCAUGAUAUGUGCAGAAGUUCUCCAUUUUUGCAUUUACAAAUUUUGUUCCAUGAUUAGACUUGAUCCCUAUAAUUUUACAGUUAAGCUUUACCUGAAUCUGCUUAGCAAAGAUCAUUAGAGCUUCAAACAUUUCAUCUUUAGAUCUCAGGAACAUGGUCCAAGUAAAUCUUGAGAAAUCAUUUACAAUCACAAAGAUGUAUUUCUUCUAUCAUCUUCUUUGAAUUUUUACAGGUCCACAAUGUCCAUGUGGAGUAAUCCAAGAGGCCUGGUAACUGACUGUCUUUCUUUGAGAAUUGGUAGAGCGGCCAUCUAAGCAUGAUCCUCUCUUGGUGUUAACCAUAUAGAGAGUACAAGCUCUAAUACCAAAUAUUGGCUUGCAUGAGUCCACCACAUGUAGAGAGACUAAGUCCCUUGACUAUACUAGAAACAUAAGUGUUUAAGUAAAUGCUUAAAUUAAAGAACACAAAACUUUACGUGGAAAUCAAACCACGAUCCGUCAAACAAUAUUUCUCAAAACUCCAUUAACUUCAAGCAACUCAUAAAUACAGACUCGAGUACUUAGAACAGAUUAAAUUCUUAAUCCUACACACCUUAUGACACCUGUAUUACAAGACACAAAGAGGCAACCCUAUUGCCUACUAUAUCAACUACCUCUAAUUAAUAUAGACUUCAACCACACUAUUCGGCAUGUCCAAUGUAUAAGAGAGACAAAACAACCUAGUAUAAGAGAGACAAAACAACCUAGUAGCAUGCCAGUGAUCGAGGAUUGCUGUCCUUUCUGCGCCUCUGUUGCAAUGCCGACCAACCACUGCAGUUUUUGCAGCUUUACAAUUGCACACCAUUGACUUGUCCUGUAAGACGAGAACUCUGAAGACCAGGUCCUUUGACUUGGUCCCUUCACUAUAUAGCUUGUUAAUUCAUCAAAACUUAAAAUGCAACAAAGUCUGGAUGUAGUUUUUUUGACGUGAAGUUGGGAGUAUUAGGAAGUUGCAUAAUCUCCUAAUUAAAGCUAGAAAAUGCUUCCUCCAUCAUAUUAUUGGCAUAAUUGUUUUUUAACCAAGCCUUGGGACUUCUAUUAAUUUAGGUAAUGUAUUCAAAUAAGCCGAUGUUAUUUGACUUGUAUGAAGGCUAUCUAUUACUCUCUCCGUUUCAAUUUGUUUGUCUUUUUUGUUCUAGUUCGUUUAAAGAAAAAAAAAAAUUCUUUUUGACAACUCUUUAAUUCUAACUUUUCAUAUGACAUGUUUAAGACAAUAAGAUUAAAAGGUAUUUUUGUACAUUUACAAUAUUUUAGCUUAAGACAAUAAGAUUCUAAAGACUUCUUUAAUUUCUUAAUCUCCGUGCAAAGUCAAAACCAGACAAUUGAAAUGGAGAAAGUAAUUGAUAUGGAGUACAUUCAAUUUGUCUACCUGUAGUAUUUCAUCCUCUAUGUACUUUGUAGAAUUUUGAGGGUGUAUUCAGAUCUGAUGUUAAAGUUGAAUAAUAUACCAUCUAAUUGUGCCAAGAGAUUGUGUUUUUUCGCCUCAGACUGCAAUAUCUGCUCUUCAAUCUGUUCUACAAGAGGAUUUCAAUGCCAGCGAGAUCGAGGAAGUAUGCCAAUAUGAGUGCUCCAGGAAGUUUUACUCUCCCUCGAGAUACAAUACCCCUUUAGAAAUUUGCAUAUUGUCAGUGUGUUGUCAACCGAAGAAAUCGAUGAGCACUUAACGACCAUCAGUGAGUGUGAUUAAUUGCCAUUGAAUACCAUCCGAUUCAUUAGAGACGUAUGAUUCACAUAAAAUAUCUUAGGAUUCUAUUGUACGGCUAGCGCUGAAGUUGAUUGAAUCCUAUCACAUACGCUCAUACGUUUUUCAACUUAUUUCCUGCUGUAACUUCUCGCCGUGUCAUCUAAGUUUCACAAAUUGUUUGAAUGCAACUGUUUGGAAUUAUUUUCUCUUGCAUUUUGGGUCCUGUUUGUGUUUACUGGUAGACAAAAGGAAAUUGUGCACACAUUUCUCAAAACUUUAAUUUGUUUCCUUUACAUGACCUGAUUAUUGGGCCCUUAAACAAUAGGUGAUGUUGGACGCCUCAUGAAAAUCUUUGUUAAUUGUUAUCUUCCAAUCAGUUCUUGUUGCUCAGUAUAUGAUAAUGGUUAUGACUUUGUGUUACACUACUGAUAGGGUAAUGUCGGUACGCAGAUACAUUAAUAGUUGCAACUAUAGUUCACCACACCACCACGGCAAGCAUGUUUGGUGGGCAGAUGUUUACCUAGUUAUUACACCACCACGGCGGCAUGUCUAGUUGACAGAUGUUUAUUUAGUUACUACACCACCAAGAUGACCACUGAGCUGGGCAGGGUCAUCAUUAUGACAGUAUUAUCAUAUAGUUCACCAUUAGGGAAGUAUGAUUUUUAUAUGUGUUUACUUGGUUGUAUUCACACAGAAAGGUUACAGUGUUAUCAAAUUUCAGCUCCCAGAGUCGCAAGUUGUUUCUAUCCCUAACUUUUGGUAUCUUUUAUAUAUUUAUAUUUACAGGUUUCAGCCUUACAUACUUGGUACAUAUAAUUCGUACUAAUGUCCCUUUGCCUGGGGACGUUGCAUUUGUGCUGCAGGCGUAGGUAGAGGCUCUGAUACCAAGUCUGUCACGCUCUAAAAUUGGGGGAGGGCGAGAUUGGCCUCGAU
Solanum dulcamara is the source of this 3968-nucleotide long non-coding RNA. RefSeq lists it as uncharacterized. NCBI's taxonomy places the organism in Eukaryota, Viridiplantae, Streptophyta, Magnoliopsida, Solanales, Solanaceae. The transcript is spliced from 3 exons. The record is from RefSeq and is a predicted model, not a curated record.